RNAcentral lists this ribosomal RNA (848 nucleotides) under uncultured archaeon. RNAcentral describes it as "partial 16S ribosomal RNA". It matches the Rfam family "Archaeal small subunit ribosomal RNA", at positions 1 to 828 of the family's 1478-position model. The record is from RNAcentral.
UUCCGGUUGAUCCUGCCGGACCCGACCGCUAUCGGGGUAGGGCUAAGCCAUGCGAGUCGCGCGCCCGGGGGCGCCCGGGAGCGGCGCACGGCUCAGUAACACGUGCCUAACCUGCCCUCGGGAGGGGGACACCCCCGGGAAACUGGGGCCAAUCCCCCAUAGGGGAGGGGCGCUGGAAGGCCCCCUCCCCCCAAAGGGCCGGCGGCCGAUCCGUCGCCGGCCGCCCGAGGAUGGGGGCACGGCCCAUCAGGUAGUUGGCGGGUUAAAGGCCCGCCAAGCCGAAGACGGGUAGGGGCGGUGAGAGCCGCGAGCCCCGAGAUGGGCACUGAGACAAGGGCCCAGGCCCUACGGGGUGCAGCAGGCGCGAAUACUCCGCAAUGCGGGCAACCGCGACGGGGCUACCCCGAGUGCCGGGCGAAGAGCCCGGCUUUUGCCCGGUCUAAAAAGCCGGGCGAAUAAGCGGGGGGCAAGCCUGGUGUCAGCCGCCGCGGUAAUACCAGCUCCGCGAGUGGUCGGGGUGUUUACUGGGCUUAAAGCGCCCGUAGCCGGCCCAGCAAGUCGCUCCUGAAAUCCCCGGGCUCAACCCGGGGGCGGGGGGCGAUACUGCUGGGCUAGGGGGCGGGAGAGGCCGCCGGUACUCCGGGGGUAGGGGCGAAAUCCGUUAAUCCCCGGAGGACCACCAGUGGCGAAAGCGGGCGGCCAGAACGCGCCCGACGGUGAGGGGCGAAAGCCGGGGGAGCAAAGGGGAUUAGAUACCCCUGUAGUCCCGGCCGUAAACGAUGCGGGCUAGCUGUCGGCCGGGCUUAGGGCCCGGCCGGUGGCGAAGGGAAACCGUUAAGCCCGCCGCC